UCCGUAGGGUGCAAGCGUUAAUCGGAAUUACUGGGCGUAAAGCGUGCGCAGGCGGUUCUAUAAGACAGAUGUGAAAUCCCCGGGCUCAACCUGGGAACUGCAUUUGUGACUGUAGAGCUGGAGUGCGGCAGAGGGGGAUGGAAUUCCGCGUGUAGCAGUGAAAUGCGUAGAUAUGCGGAGGAUCACCGAUGGCGAAGGCAAUCCCCUGGGCCUGCACUGACGCUCAUGCACGAAAGCGUGGGGAGCAAACAGG
This 253-nucleotide ribosomal RNA is filed under the name uncultured bacterium. Its description in RNAcentral is "partial 16S ribosomal RNA". It matches the Rfam family "Bacterial small subunit ribosomal RNA", at positions 524 to 776 of the family's 1533-position model. The record is from RNAcentral.